GUUUGGUUGAUCAUGGUUCGGGUUUUAGUUCUUGGGACCCAAAGUUGCAACUAAUAAUAUGCAACUUAGAAGUUGUUACACGACCUCCAAUUAAAAGCACUGAGGUAAAAAAGAAGAAACCUAAAAAAUCCAGCGGUGCUUCUUCUGGAAAGGGAAAAGGAAAGGGAAAGUGGAAGACUGUAAGCACCAUUGCAAAAUAUUUCUCACUUUCUGUCACAAAUAUAGCUUUGAAGACACCUAAAUUUAGUGUUGAAAUUGGGAAGUUGAAUGUGGACAUAUCUAAAGAGGCUGGAAGCGAGUCAGAUUUGGUAGUUAGGGUUCAAAUACUACCCAUUCUCUUUAACAUUAUUGAGCCUCAAGAUAGUAAUCAAGUAUCGGAUUCUAGUGGUGGAGGAAGCAAUCCUUCUGUCCAAGCAACUGUUGCUUCUACUGAAAAGACUUGUGCUA
Molecule: small RNA, 447 nt
Filed under: Vigna angularis var. angularis
Lineage: Eukaryota; Viridiplantae; Streptophyta; Magnoliopsida; Fabales; Fabaceae
Description: Non-protein coding transcript
Source: RNAcentral